UUCAUAAAAUAUAGAUCCACUCUGAGAAGAAAUACCUUAAGUCCUUUCUUAGAAGAAUCGGUUGUUAGAUCGACGAUGCUAAUGAUAGCCCUGCGACCAUUCUGGAGGCAUGGAUGCAGUUCCUACAUUGAGAGAAAAGAUCAAUCUGACUUCACGUGGGCAAAGGGUCAUUGUGCAACAGAAAGAUAAUGUGCAACAGAAUUUCAAUGCGGAGAUGACUCGUAUCAUAAUGCCAUUAAUUUUCGUACCAGCAGUUCAGGGUCUAAACAUAUGGCAGCAAAACAAGAAAACAGAAGCACCAUCCUAAUCGCAUGAAUCGUCCGGUGGUUGAACAAACCCUCACAGUUCGCCUGAGUACAACACAUGAAGCUUCACAAAAGUGUUGCC
Molecule: long non-coding RNA, 387 nt
Filed under: Hordeum vulgare
Lineage: Eukaryota; Viridiplantae; Streptophyta; Magnoliopsida; Poales; Poaceae
Description: long non-coding RNA (HVUL_LNC011542)
Source: RNAcentral